AACGAACGCUGGCGGCAUGCCUAACACAUGCAAGUCGAACGAGACCUUCGGGUCUAGUGGCGCACGGGUGCGUAACGCGUGGGAACCUGCCCUUAGGUUCGGAAUAACUCCCCGAAAGGGGUGCUAAUACCGGAUAAUGUCUUCGGACCAAAGAUUUAUCGCCUUUGGAUGGGCCCGCGUUGGAUUAGCUAGUUGGUAGGGUAAAAGCCUACCAAGGCGACGAUCCAUAGCUGGUCUGAGAGGAUGAUCAGCCACACUGGGACUGGGACACGGCCCAGACUCCUACGGGAGGCAGCAGUGGGGGAUAUUGGACAAUGGGCGAAAGCCUGAUCCAGCAAUGCCGCGUGAGUGAUGAAGGCCUUAGAGUUGUAAAGCACUUUUACCCGGGAUGAUAAUGACAGUACCGGAAGAAUAAGCACCGGCUAACUCCGUG
RNAcentral lists this ribosomal RNA (433 nucleotides) under uncultured bacterium. Its description in RNAcentral is "partial 16S ribosomal RNA". It matches the Rfam family "Bacterial small subunit ribosomal RNA", at positions 29 to 507 of the family's 1533-position model. The record is from RNAcentral.